RNAcentral lists this long non-coding RNA (658 nucleotides) under Citrus maxima (pomelo). RNAcentral describes it as "long non-coding RNA (CMAX_LNC000316)". Lineage: Eukaryota; Viridiplantae; Streptophyta; Magnoliopsida; Sapindales; Rutaceae. The record is from RNAcentral.
GUGGAGUACUAAAUGUACAUUGAUAUAUCUCUUUUUCUUUCUUUUAUGUUUGAAUGUGGUCUAUUAAAUGUUGUAAAGUUAUUACUCAGGUGAAGUGACUGUAGUAGCAUAAGAAAGAAAUAUCUGAGUAUAGAGUUUACAGAAUGAGAAGAGAUGUUUACAGAAUGAGAAGAGAUCAUUGUGUUUACAAUUUUAUUUUCAUUUUAGCUCAUGUUAUUUUUGAGUUUCUCUUCUAUAAAGUAAAGCUACAUUGCCAUUGAUAGCAAGAUUAUGAUAGCCUUUAUAUCUAUUAACUUAUGCCAAAGUACUGACAAUUACCUUUUUCCAGCCCUUUGGGAUAUUUUUCUUAGCAAUAAGGAAAUUGGUUUCUGGCAUUACUGCAGAUAUGAGUGGGAAGUUUGCCUUCUGGCUUAAGUUCUUUUUGCCAGUUUAGUUGAUAAUGAUGCUGAGCUAUUGUUUCUUAAAUCCUUCAAUUUUUCCAGUUUUCUUGAAAUGAGGGCCUAUUAUUUUUCUUGGAAGCAGUUUCUUUGUAUUGUUGCUUGCAGUACAAAGGUCUAGGUUAUAUAUGUUUAUCGAAUAUUCAUCCUUCGGCAAUCAAUAUAGGCCUGUUCAGGGGUGGGAUCUAUGUUUGUUUCACCCUUUGGUUUCACUUGUAUUU